CGGGCGGAUCAGCCAGUGACGGGGUGGUUGGUGUAUUUGUAAUGACACAUUUUGAAAGCACAUGAACAUAGUAACCAAGUUCGAGCUGGAGCUGAAGUGAAACUGGAUACUUUGUUGCCUGCCUGCCUUCCUUCCUUUCUUUCUUUCUGCUCUGUAGGAAAGUAGUUAGGAUAAUGAGAGAGAAGUUUUUUGUUACGCAAGUGUGGUUAUGUAACAACAACAAAAUAACAGUGGUUGAAAGAGAAACGGCGGUGGAAUGAGAAGUUAUCGACGGUGAAGGUGGAAUGUCGCAGAGCUCCGGAGCUCCGCAGCCGCCCCCGGGUCCUCCGCCCUCCUCCUUCUUCACCUCCUCCUCCUCCUCCACCUCCUCCUACUCCUUCUGCUCCUCUCAGCCCGGGCUGGAGGCCUCGGCGGCGGCGGGGGCGGGAUGCAGCACCGUGCUGAUGUCAGUCAAAGUGGCAGCGAGUCACUCCGGGAUCCGGCCGCUGUGUCUCCCCGGCUGCGGGGAUGAAACUCUGCGGCUUCAGCUCAGCAUGGACCCGGGGAAGGCGGGGGAAUUCCGGCUGGCCCUGAGACACAGCAGCGGAACUAACGCGUCCAUUGCUGAGUUUGAUCUCAGGACGGUGCGCUACGAGGUCAAGACACCACGGAGUCACGAGCUGAUCUUGGCCACGUCCCCUCAUGACCGCAUCACCUUCAACUUCCGCAGCGAACAGGAAGCGCAGGCCUGGGCCACUGUGGUGAUGUCAUCACUCCGCGAGGCUCAUCGAGUGGCCAUUGGUUGUCCUGCAGAUGAUGGACAGCUUCUGCCCCAGCCCCUGGUUGUACAAAUGCCCGCCUCACUGUCCAGCACGGAGGAGCUGUGUAUGGAGCUGGUUCGGUCUAUAGAGGCCGGUGAUGUUCAGGCUGCGUCUGUGUGUGCGGAGUCUCUGGCUCGUCAGCACACACCGCUGUGCAUUCAGCCAAAUCACAAACACUACACCAACAAGGAGAUCAGUUUGUCAGUGGUGUUGGAGGAUGCUUCCUCUUCCUGUUGUGUCACUGUUAAAGUCUUCCCCCACACCACGGUGGCUGCUCUUAAACAGCAGGUGUUUGUGCAAUACGGUUUCCAUCCACAUGUCCAGCGCUGGGUCAUCGGUCACUGUCUGUGCGCCGACUCCCGCUCUCUGGCGUCCUAUGGCGUGCAGCAGGACGGAGACACCGCCUUCCUGUACCUGGUGUCCCGACAGAGGCGACAGGACCAGGAGAACUUCCUGCUUGCUCCCACUUCCUCCUCUGGGGACACAUAUUCUAUUGGCAAUGGGCCGGAGGGAACGUUGAAAGCCUACAGUACGCUGCCCACCAGACUGCACCCGCACCACAACAACAGCGGCAGUCGUAGUUUGGCCGGGAUAGAGAGGUUGGGCUUGGGUGAAAUCCGUGACCUGAUUAACCUGGAGAUGCCACAGCUGAACGAAGCCCUCUUGCCCGGCAGAACUAACACACAGCUGGGUUGGGCGUGUCCUUCCUGUACGUACAUUAACAAGCCGACGCGUCCCGGCUGUGAGAUGUGCAGUGCGGACAGACCCGAGAGUUACACAGUGCCUGGAGGCUACAGACCUGACACACUGGAACUGCGACGCAUCCAACAGGAGAAAGAAGCCAUCAGACAGUACCAGCAGGCACAGGAAGCAGAGCGCAGGGAGAACUAUGCUCGGCUGGUGGAGGUGGACGGUCAGGAACUGGUCCCGAACACAGAGAGCAUUGAAUGCAGGAUUUGUUACUUACAGCUUCAGUCAGGAGAGGGAGUCCUGCUGCGUGAAUGUCUCCACUGCUUCUGCAGAGAAUGUUUGCGUUCGGUAAUCCUGCUUUCAGAGGAUCCUCAGGUGGCGUGUCCCUACAGAGACGAGGCAUACGCAUGUGACUGCACACUGCAGGAGAGAGAGAUCCGCGCUCUGGUUUCGGGUGAGGAGUAUGAGCGCUGGCUGCAGCGGGGGCUUUCAGUGGCUGAGUCACGCUGUGAGGGCAGUUAUCACUGUGCCACCACCGACUGUCCAGGCUGGUGUGUGUAUGAGGACACUGUCAACACCUUCCACUGCCCUGUCUGCAGCAAGCACAACUGCCUGCUCUGCAAGGCAAUUCAUGAAGGGAUGAAUUGUAAACAGUACCAGGACGAUCUUGCUGCUCGUGCCAUCAACGACAUUGCAGCCCGGAGAACGAGGGACCUCUUGAAGGUCACACACAACUCUGGUGAAGUCUGGCGAGGCGAUGCACUGUCCUCAGUGUGGAAUCAUCGUGCAGAAGAAGGAAGGCUGUGAUUGGCUGCGCUGCACUGUGUGUCACACAGAGAUCUGCUGGGUCACCAGAGGGCCACGCUGGGGCCCUGGGGGUCCUGGAGACACGAGUGGAGGUUGCCGCUGUAAUGUGAAUAAACAGAGAUGCCACCCAAAAUGUCAGAACUGCCACUGAGAGAGAGAGAGAGCGAGCGAGCACAAGUGUGAGCGAAACCGUCCCCUGGAUGAAAACCAAUAACAAUGAAAAGCCUUAAAAAAAGACUGAAAACAAAAACCAAAGCUGAAUAUCAUUAACUUUCAUGAAUCAUUAUUAAGUUAAUAAUAUUGGACAAAAUGCACUUUUUAUGUCUUACGCCGAGCAUUGAUAUUACACAGGUAAAAAUAUUAAUAUACUGAAGUGCCUUAUUUUAUAAACCCAACUGUUUUUCAGGGUGCUACAUUUUCACAUGGAUUUUUAUAGAUCCAGUAUAAUUCCUGUGUGUUUAACUGUUUUUCUUAACAAAAAAAACUUUACAAUUUUAUUUAAUAUUGAUAAAACACCGUAAACUAUUAUUCUCAGAGUUUUAAUGGUAAUGACAAAGCAUGAAUUUUGGCAAAAUUCCAAAAUUCCACAGCUACAGUGACAGCUACAGUGACAGUUUUACUCUAUUGAGAAUAACUGUUCAGCGCCUUAUGUUGGAGAUUUUGUCUUGAAUGAAAACAUUCUUGUAUGACCUUUUGUAUAAUUUAUUUUACAAUUCAAGCUAUCACUGAUCUGAAAACAAACAAUAAACAUUUCCACAUGAAAAAA
Pangasianodon hypophthalmus (striped catfish) is the source of this 3063-nucleotide RNA transcript. It is a transcript of the gene named sharpin and rbck1 related, with no coding region annotated. NCBI's taxonomy places the organism in Eukaryota, Metazoa, Chordata, Actinopteri, Siluriformes, Pangasiidae. The record is from RefSeq and is a predicted model, not a curated record. The transcript has 14 exons.